RNAcentral lists this ribosomal RNA (243 nucleotides) under uncultured bacterium. RNAcentral's name for it is "partial 16S ribosomal RNA". It matches the Rfam family "Bacterial small subunit ribosomal RNA", at positions 28 to 271 of the family's 1533-position model. The record is from RNAcentral.
GACGAACGCUGGCGGCGUGCGUUAACACAUGCAAGUCGAGCGGUAAGGCCCUUUCGGGGUACGACGAGCGGCGAACGGGUGAGUAACACGUGGGUGACCUGCCCUCAGCUCUGGGAUAAGCCCGGGAAACUGGGUCUAAUACUGGAUAUGACUCCAUGACGCAUGUUGUGGGGUGGAAAGCCUUGUGCGGCUGAGGAUGGGCCCGCGGCCUAUCAGCUUGUUGGUGGGGNGAUGGCCUACCAA